UGAUGUUAGCGGCGGACGGGUGAGUAACACGUGGGUAACCUGCCUGUAAGACUGGGAUAACUCCGGGAAACCGGGGCUAAUACCGGAUGCUUGUUUGAACCGCAUGGUUCAAAUAUAAAAGGUGGCUUCGGCUACCACUUACAGAUGGACCCGCGGCGCAUUAGCUAGUUGGUGAGGUAACGGCUCACCAAGGCAACGAUGCGUAGCCGACCUGAGAGGGUGAUCGGCCACACUGGGACUGAGACACGGCCCAGACUCCUACGGGAGGCAGCAGUAGGGAAUCUUCCGCAAUGGACGAAAGUCUGACGGAGCAACGCCGCGUGAGUGAUGAAGGUUUUCGGAUCGUAAAGCUCUGUUGUUAGGGAAGAACAAGUACCGUUCGAAUAGGGCGGUACCUUGACGGUACCUAACCAGAAAGCCACGGCUAACUACGUGCCAGCAGCCGCGGUAAUACGUAGGUGGCAAGCGUUGUCCGGAAUUAUUGGGCGUAAAGGGCUCGCAGGCGGUUUCUUAAGUCUGAUGUGAAAGCCCCCGGCUCAACCGGGGAGGGUCAUUGGAAACUGGGGAACUUGAGUGCAGAAGAGGAGAGUGGAAUUCCACGUGUAGCGGUGAAAUGCGUAGAGAUGUGGAGGAACACCAGUGGCGAAGGCGACUCUCUGGUCUGUAACUGACGCUGAGGAGCGAAAGCGUGGGGAGCGAACAGGAUUAGAUACCCUGGUAGUCCACGCCGUAAACGAUGAGUGCUAAGUGUUAGGGGGUUUCCGCCCCUUAGUGCUGCAGCUAACGCAUUAAGCACUCCGCCUGGGGAGUACGGUCGCAAGACUGAAACUCAAAGGAAUUGACGGG
This 846-nucleotide ribosomal RNA is filed under the name Bacillus inaquosorum. RNAcentral describes it as "bacterial SSU rRNA". It matches the Rfam family "Bacterial small subunit ribosomal RNA", at positions 87 to 917 of the family's 1533-position model. Lineage: Bacteria; Bacillati; Bacillota; Bacilli; Caryophanales; Bacillaceae. The record is from RNAcentral.